AAAUAUAGUUCCAUUUCUAAUUCUACAUUUAAACUUCUGGAGGCCUUCCCUAACAAAUCCAUAAUGGUCUUGGAUAUUCUCUCAUGCUUUCCCUCCCCACUUUAUUUUGUUACUGAGCUGUUGCUCCCAGUUAUGUCAAUUCUAGGUUUUUAAAUAUCUAUGAGAGGGGAAAUGAACAGAGUAGUCAGGGAAGUGCACAGACCAUCAAAAGGAAGAGCAGAAGGCUGGCUCUCUAUCUCGCACAGGUUUUCUAACUUAAGUAAAACAGUAAAACAUUCCAAUUUCCCUAAGCAGAUCCUCUCCCCUCACAUCUCCUUCUCCUGUUUUCUUCCAACAUUUAAAAUUUUUUUAUGGUUAGCCCCUUACACUGAUCACAAGGCUGUCAAUAGGAUCCAACCCACGUUAAUUCUGUCCUUGUCCAUUUUAAAUCCUUAUUACGCGGAAAUAAAAUAUAUCAGAUAUCUUCAGGGGUUUAGAAUUUAGAAGCAUGCCUAUUUAAUCCUGCUUCCAUCAAGGAUCGAGCACGUAAGACAAAGCAAAGUCUGGCUUUUCUCAAUGCAAAUCCUGGGACGUGGGUUCCCAGAAAACAGCGCAAGGUACAGCCCCAGAUGGAAACUCCCAGUCUUACUGAGGGGGAAAAACGGGGUUUUACAGAGACCAGUCCCUUGGGGCUUAAAAGCGCGUCCCCAGGGAGCUUCGCUUUCAGUUCUGUGAGAAGUUCGGGGCUGCAAGAGUCCAGCUACUCGUUGAACCCAGGCUGCCUGUGAGUAACUUGGCGCUGCCUGGAGCACGGGUAUGGCUGGUUUGGCUCAGUGCUCGCCCAGGGCAACGCUGGUUAGGGACAGACUGUCACUGGAAGUCACUGACUACCUCUGAGAUCUGGCUGCAAGUUGUCACCGCUGAGCGGCGUGGAGGUUGCAGCGUUCAGUCUCGGGACAGAAGGAGGCGGGCGUAGUCAUGAUGACCACAACUGCAACAGGAGCACGCUCUCACCCAUAAUCACUCCCAGGACCAUGGUCUUCCGCGGAGUUGACACAAGUCCGCGCUGAACAGGCCAGUCUCUGCAGCUGGUUUCUUUCACCCACGCCGCGCCUGUUGUUUCAUCCAUCCCAGGAGGGGCGGCACACAUCACAGCCUGGCUCUGUGCUUUGCUUUUUCCAUAACUUCCGUAGGAUCAGCCGGCAGUGUACUUUCAGUUUCUUCUUUGAGCUUAGUCUGUAGGUUCAAUCUUUAGGUUUAUCCUCUGGACGCCUUUACCAUCUCCUCUCUGCUGGGCACCCGUGUCCUUCCUUAGCGCUUUCCAUGCACCUGGACCAGGACCAGAGGGAGGUGCAAACUUGCCAAGUACCGCAGGAGAAAUCAGGUGGCCUUCUGAUUCAGAGCGAUUCAGGGUAAAAGACUUUUCAGAUGACUUCUAACCGCCUUGGCAACUCUUGGGCGACCGAGAGCUAAAACCAUUGGUUGCUAAUAUGUCCACGGAAACCACAAAUGUGCUGGGCGAAAGCUGGGCAAUUGCAAGAGGACGCCACCGAGGAGGCGUCGCCGCUUCUGCCGCGGAUGUGACAGACGUUGCCAAGUCAUCUUAUAAAAAAAAGGAAGUGAAGAAUGAUUAAGAGGGUCACGCCCUCUGCCCCUCCAACCUCUCUAAUUAGUUUCUUUCUCUGUCUUCUGUGCAUGCACCUGCUCAGGUGGGAUCUUAAGGAAAAGUAAUUCUGUGGCCCCACCUAAUCUGGUAGGUUGCAUUGAAUCACAUCAUCUAUGACUGGUGAUCAACAUGAGUCAGAUUGAAUAUAAUCCAUCUUAUCUUCAUCACUAUCACCAUCAUCAUUAUCAUCUGCAUGCUACAAUGACUACUAUAUUUUAAAAAAUCAAUAUGUUCAUAUUCUAUAGGAAAUUUCAAUGUAGGUGAUAGUUUUUUAUUUAAUUUAGUUUAUUUUGUUUUUGGAUUACUAAUAUAGAAACCAUAUUUUAUUCAGCCACCAGAGGGAGCUCCCAAAUCUAUGCAUUCUAAAGGAAAAUAAAUGUGGUUGUAUUAUGGUUAACAAUCAAGCAUUCAAUCAGCUGUGACUCAUGGUGUUGUCUGCUCAUAUAUCAGGUCUUUUGUACAUAAAGUGCCUAAAAUCCUGUCCUUCUACACAUGCCACAUUAUUUUAAUGCAGUUCUUAAAUAAUAGUCUUUUUCUGUUUCUUUUUCUUUUUCUUUUUUUUAGUUUGAGUCAUUGUUAUUUCAACCCUAUAUUUUAAUUUUGGAUAGUAUUGAUUAAUUCCUUUUGUUCUGA
This is a long non-coding RNA of Sciurus carolinensis (gray squirrel), 2278 nucleotides long. RefSeq lists it as uncharacterized. The transcript is spliced from 3 exons. The record is from RefSeq and is a predicted model, not a curated record. NCBI's taxonomy places the organism in Eukaryota, Metazoa, Chordata, Mammalia, Rodentia, Sciuridae.